This 499-nucleotide ribosomal RNA is filed under the name uncultured bacterium. Its description in RNAcentral is "bacterial SSU rRNA". It matches the Rfam family "Bacterial small subunit ribosomal RNA", at positions 21 to 507 of the family's 1533-position model. The record is from RNAcentral.
GGCUCAGGAUGAACGCUAGCUACAGGCUUAACACAUGCAAGUCGAGGGGAAACGAUAGAGAAAGCUUGCUUUUUCUAGGCGUCGACCGGCGCACGGGUGAGUAACGCGUAUCCAACCUGCCCAUCACUUGGGGAUAACCUUGCGAAAGUAAGACUAAUACCCAAUGACGUCUCUAGAAGACAUCUGAAGGAGAUUAAAGAUUUAUCGGUGAUGGAUGGGGAUGCGUCUGAUUAGCUUGUUGGCGGGGUAACGGCCCACCAAGGCGACGAUCAGUAGGGGUUCUGAGAGGAAGGUCCCCCACAUUGGAACUGAGACACGGUCCAAACUCCUACGGGAGGCAGCAGUGAGGAAUAUUGGUCAAUGGGCGCGAGCCUGAACCAGCCAAGUCGCGUGAGGGAUGAAUGGUCCAUGGCCUGUAAACCUCUUUUGUCAAGGAAGAAUAAAAGGUACGUGUACCUUCUUGCCAGUACUUGACGAAUAAGCAUCGGCUAACUCCGUG